RNAcentral lists this ribosomal RNA (525 nucleotides) under uncultured bacterium. RNAcentral describes it as "bacterial SSU rRNA". It matches the Rfam family "Bacterial small subunit ribosomal RNA", at positions 8 to 526 of the family's 1533-position model. The record is from RNAcentral.
AGGGUUUGAUCCUGGCUCAGGAUGAACGCUAGCGGCAGGCUUAACACAUGCAAGUCGAGGGGUAACAGGGAUUGCUUGCAAUCCGCUGACGACCGGCGCACGGGUGCGUAACGCGUAUGCAACCUACCUUCUACAGGGGAAUAGUCAAUAGAAAUGUUGAAUAAUACCCCAUACGAUCUUUGAAUAGCAUUAUUUAGAGAAGAAAGUUCCGGCGGUAGAAGAUGGGCAUGCGUCCUAUUAGUUAGUUGGAGAGGUAACGGCUCCCCAAGACAUCGAUAGGUAGGGGUCCUGAGAGGGAGACCCCCCACACUGGUACUGAGACACGGACCAGACUCCUACGGGAGGCAGCAGUGAGGAAUAUUGGACAAUGGAGGCAACUCUGAUCCAGCCAUGCCGCGUGCAGGAAGACUGCCCUAUGGGUUGUAAACUGCUUUUAUACAGGAAGAAAUGUACCUACGUGUAGGUAUUUGACGGUACUGUACGAAUAAGGAUCGGCUAACUCCGUGCCAGCCGCCGCGGUAAUUC